CAGUCAUAAUAAUAUCUUUUUAAUUAGAUAAACUUGAAAGUGGUAUAGUAGCUCUUCUGGCUCAUUCAAUGUUGUUAUUAAGCAUCCAUGGGCACAGUUCAAUGUUAAUCCAUGUCAAAAAAAUUCAACCUAGUUUUAGUUUGGCUGAUAGACAAAAUUAUCUCAAAAGCUUCUAUAAAUGAAAAAGAAAAGAAUGGAUGGGAUAAAAUCUUCAAACCGCC
Molecule: long non-coding RNA, 221 nt
Filed under: Vigna radiata
Lineage: Eukaryota; Viridiplantae; Streptophyta; Magnoliopsida; Fabales; Fabaceae
Description: long non-coding RNA (VRAD_LNC016300)
Source: RNAcentral